This is a long non-coding RNA of Dermochelys coriacea (leatherback sea turtle), 1212 nucleotides long. RefSeq lists it as uncharacterized. NCBI's taxonomy places the organism in Eukaryota, Metazoa, Chordata, Testudines, Dermochelyidae. The transcript is spliced from 3 exons. The record is from RefSeq and is a predicted model, not a curated record.
UACCAGGCUUGGUCUAAGAUAAUAGCAUGGGGAAGGGGAAGGAGAUUGGCUUGACUGGCCCACAAAUAGCUCUUCCUAAUGGAGUCUGAUCCUCAGUUAUCUAUUGCUUUUUUUUCUCCACCAAUUAUAGCUGUGUGAAGUACUCCCCUUUUUAUGUUGGAGUGCCCAACAGGUUAUGCCAAUGUAUACUUCAACAUGUGUUUGGAUCCACCAAGGUAUGGGGGCCCCAGGUGGGAUGAAAAACUUUUUUCUGAAUGCAAACAUAUGCACCUUGGCUGGGAACGGCAGGAGGAAGCCAAGAAUUGAUGCUGCACCGGAAUGCAGUUGAGACAGAGUACAAGAACACAGUCAUUGAAAAGAGUAUAUCUGUGUAUGAAAGGUGGAGAUAUUCACUAGACACAACCUUGCCUUCUGGGAUUAGCAGUGUGUGUGAAAGAAGGAGUGCCUGCACUAUGUCUUGUCGAGCUGUCUUUGAGUGUUGUUUCGUGUGUUUUUGGUGUUUUCUAUGUAGACCACCUGUACCACCGGAGGAAGCCUCAUGAAUCACCAUAGCCAAAAGCAUGGGAUACAUAUUGCAGACAGUGGCUGGGAGUUGGUUAGAAUCCAGCUUCCUCAGCUGCAUUGACGAAGCAGGAAACUUGGGAUCCUGCAUACUACAUACACCUCUAGCCCCUCUGGAAUGGAUUUGCACAUGGGCCCAUGUGGCAGGGUUUCUUGGAGGAGGUAUGUAAAGAUCUUCCGCCUUGGCUGAAGACAAUCUGAGAGGAAGUGGCUUGGGACAAUGUGAGGAAUUUUUGAUAACACUUAGAAAUUGCAUCUUUUGCACAGCUGGUAGAGUAAUCACUUGAGAAUGCUAGUGAUUCUAGAAGUUGCUGAUGCUUCAAUGGUUUGUCCCUGUGAAUUUAUGUUCUUAAGCUAUCUCCAUGGAAAAGCCCUAUAGAAUUGAAUGGAGAAUUCUAUCUGUGCUGUAGAACUGAUUAAACAUAACCUUCAGGAAGGACCUCACUAUCCAUUGAAAUCUAUAGGAUUUCAAAAGUGGUUUCUAUAGCCCCUACCGAUUUCUGCCCCAAUACAUUCCAUAGGACUUUUCCACAAGUGGCCCCUUAGCAGGACAUUCUUGAAAGUUCCAUAACGCAAAACACUCCUGACCCUCUCCGGUGUUGAACAGAGGCUGCCUCUUCCAGCUGGUGAGAAAUACUAAGGAAGAGAAAG